GAAUAUUGGUCAAUGGAGGCAACUCUGAACCAGCCAUGCCGCGUGCAGGAUGACUGCCCUCUGGGUUGUAAACUGCUUUUGUCAGGGAAUAAACCUUUCUACGUGUAGAAAGCUGAAUGUACCUGAAGAAUAAGGAUCGGCUAACUCCGUUCCAGCAGCCGCGGUAAUACGGAGGAUCCAAGCGUUAUCCGGAUUUAUUGGGUUUAAAGGGUGCGUAGGCGGUCCUAUAAGUCAGUGGUGAAAGACGGCAGCUUAACUGUCGCAGUGCCUUUGAUACUGUAGGACUUGAAUCUAUUUGAAGUGGGCGGAAUAAGACAAGUAGCGGUGAAAUGCAUAGAUAUGUCUUAGAACUCCGAUUGCGAAGGCAGCUCACUAAGUUAGUAUUGACGCUGAUGCACGAAAGCGUGGGGAUCAAACAG
RNAcentral lists this ribosomal RNA (419 nucleotides) under uncultured bacterium. RNAcentral's name for it is "bacterial SSU rRNA". It matches the Rfam family "Bacterial small subunit ribosomal RNA", at positions 359 to 775 of the family's 1533-position model. The record is from RNAcentral.